CAUAAGAAGAAGAAGAAAC
Molecule: small RNA, 19 nt
Filed under: Arabidopsis thaliana (thale cress)
Lineage: Eukaryota; Viridiplantae; Streptophyta; Magnoliopsida; Brassicales; Brassicaceae
Description: ATSL053600
Source: RNAcentral